RNAcentral lists this ribosomal RNA (497 nucleotides) under uncultured bacterium. Its description in RNAcentral is "partial 16S ribosomal RNA". It matches the Rfam family "Bacterial small subunit ribosomal RNA", at positions 28 to 507 of the family's 1533-position model. The record is from RNAcentral.
GAUGAACGCUGGCGGCGUGCCUAAUACAUGCAAGUCGAGCGAACAGAUGAGGAGCUUGCUCCUCUGACGUUAGCGGCGGACGGGUGAGUAACACGUGGAUAACCUACCUAUAAGACUGGGAUAACUUCGGGAAACCGGAGCUAGUACCGGAUAAUAUAUUGAACCGCAUGGUUCAAUAGUGAAAGACGGUUUUGCUGUCACUUAUAGAUGGAUCCGCGCCGCAUUAGCUAGUUGGUAAGGUAACGGCUUACCAAGGCAACGAUGCGUAGCCGACCUGAGAGGGUGAUCGGCCACACUGGAACUGAGACACGGUCCAGACUCCUACGGGAGGCAGCAGUAGGGAAUCUUCCGCAAUGGGCGAAAGCCUGACGGAGCAACGCCGCGUGAGUGAUGAAGGUCUUCGGAUCGUAAAACUCUGUUACUAGGGAAGAACAAAUGUGUAAGUAACUAUGCACGUCUUGACGGUACCUAAUCAGAAAGCCACGGCUAACUACGUG